GCCUUCGUGGCGUAACCGUAGCACACUCGACGCAUAUUCGAUAGGUCCAGGUUAGAGUCCCGGCUAAGGCA
This 71-nucleotide transfer RNA is filed under the name Stegodyphus mimosarum. It matches the Rfam family "tRNA". Rfam says of the family: Transfer RNA (tRNA) molecules are approximately 80 nucleotides in length. The record is from Rfam by way of RNAcentral. Lineage: Eukaryota; Metazoa; Arthropoda; Arachnida; Araneae; Eresidae.